Molecule: ribosomal RNA, 475 nt
Filed under: uncultured bacterium
Lineage: Bacteria
Description: bacterial SSU rRNA
Rfam family: Bacterial small subunit ribosomal RNA
Source: RNAcentral
CGGCAUGCCUUACAGUAUGCAAGUCGAACGGCAGCACGGGAGCAAGUCCUGGUGGCGAGUGGCGAACGGGUGAGUAAUAUAUCGGAACGUGCCCGGUCGUGGGGGAUAACGUAGCGAAAGCUACGCUAAUACCGCAUACGAUCUACGGAUGAAAGCGGGGGAUCGCAAGACCUCGCGCGAUUGGAGCGGCCGAUAUCAGAUUAGGUAGUUGGUGAGGUAAAGGCUCACCAAGCCGACGAUCUGUAGCUGGUCUGAGAGGACGACCCAGCCACACUGGGACUGAGACACGGCCCAGACUCCUACGGGAGGCAGCAGUGGGGAAUUUUGGACAAUGGGCGCAAGCCUGAUCCAGCAAUGCCGCGUGCAGGAUGAAGGCCUUCGGGUUGUAAACUGCUUUUGUACGGAACGAAACGGUGAGCUCUAAUACAGUUUGCUAAUGACGGUACCGUAAGAAUAAGCACCGGCUAACUACGUG